This 489-nucleotide ribosomal RNA is filed under the name uncultured Lactobacillus sp. RNAcentral describes it as "partial 16S ribosomal RNA". Lineage: Bacteria; Bacillati; Bacillota; Bacilli; Lactobacillales; Lactobacillaceae. The record is from RNAcentral.
CACGUAGUUAGCCGUGACUUUCUAAGUAAUUACCGUCAAAUAAAGGCCAGUUACUGCCUCUAUCUUUCUUCACUACCAACAGAGCUUUACGAGCCGAAACCCUUCUUCACUCACGCGGCGUUGCUCCAUCAGACUUUCGUCCAUUGUGGAAGAUUCCCUACUGCUGCCUCCCGUAGGAGUUUGGGCCGUGUCUCAGUCCCAAUGUGGCCGAUCAGUCUCUCAACUCGGCUAUGCAUCAUUGCCUUGGUAAGCCGUUACCUUACCAACUAGCUAAUGCACCGCAGGUCCAUCCAAGAGUGAUAGCAGAACCAUCUUUCAAACUCUAGACAUGCGUCUAGUGUUGUUAUCCGGUAUUAGCAUCUGUUUCCAGGUGUUAUCCCAGUCUCUUGGGCAGGUUACCCACGUGUUACUCACCCGUCCGCCGCUCGCUUGUAUCUAGUUUCAUUUAGUGUCAGCACUAAAAUCAUCUAGGCAAGCUCGCUCGACUUG